Molecule: ribosomal RNA, 253 nt
Filed under: uncultured bacterium
Lineage: Bacteria
Description: partial 16S ribosomal RNA
Rfam family: Bacterial small subunit ribosomal RNA
Source: RNAcentral
UACGAAGGGGGCUAGCGUUGCUCGGAAUCACUGGGCGUAAAGCGCACGCAGGCGGACUCUUAAGUCGGUGGUGAAAUCCUGGAGCUCAACUCCAGAACUGCCUUCGAUACUGGGAGUCUCGAGUCCGGGAGAGGUGAGUGGAACUGCGAGUGUAGAGGUGAAAUUCGUAGAUAUUCGCAAGAACACCAGUGGCGAAGGCGGCUCACUGGCCCGGUACUGACGCUGAGGUGCGAAAGCGUGGGGAGCAAACAGG